UUUGUUUACAUCCUGUUCUCGGGAUGUCAGAAAGAGAGAGAGAGAGAAAGAAAGGGUGGAGGAAGAAUAUAUAUUUAAUGCAACUUAGUAACAAACUUCUCGCUUCUUAAACGAAUGCAUAAGCGCAGCGUUGAAACAAACAAAACAGAAUAUAACAGUGGGGAGUUGCACUGUGUUUUGAUAUUCGACUAUGUCAACACAGCGUCAGCACCCAUGUUUACCCCCAGUCUGAAUUUUAUCUGCGCAACAUUAGUUGGAAUGCGGACGUGAAAUAUAUAACACACACGCGCACAUUAGCAGCAAUCCAUGUGGCAAUUAACCAAUUUUUAAACAACACAGAAGCAAAAGAAUAGAGAUUUUAAACAGACUCCCUGCCUCCCCAUUAUAAGAACUGUACAGGAAGAUGCAAGGAAAAAGUUGUAAUUAAUUCACAUCAUGCUGCCCUUCAUUAUGGUGCUGUGUCAAAAGAAAUGACCCGGCAUUUUAAAAAUUGCAACACCUCCCCUACCUUAUGCCCAAUCAGGAUACAUUUUAUUGGCAUUUAGUUUUUAAAGGCAAGGUUUAAAACCGCUAUUUAGUUUCUAGGAAAGCUGGAAUGACUUACGUUUCGAGGAAUCAGGUUCUGCGAGAAUUCUCAACCCCCGCAAAUGCAAGUUUUGAUUGUUUCUUUUUUAAAAAAAAACCUCAUUCUUCUCAAGCCAUAUUUGGUGGCGGGUUCUCUUUUGGAAACGGAUACUGACAUCAGGUGAAGUGUUGCUGCUGAGGAGUUUGGGAAACAUCCAUCCCACACACAUAGACUGUAAAAGUGAAGAUAAACAAGAAGGAGAAGGUAGACCUGCUGCUGCAUAAACCUACUAUUAAAGUAACUGAGACUUCCAGCUUUUCAUCUGGACUGUUUGCAGUAGAUUGCGUCGCUUCAACGUGUUUCUAUCCCACUGCUGUUGUGUUUCGUAACUAGAUUAUAUCAUGUCCAUCAUCAUGUGACAUAGUGAGGCCUGGAUGGAAACUUGCGGGGUGGGAAGGAGCCGCGUGUUUAAGAGAUUUGCAGCCCCAUCUUCCUAACCCGGCUGCAAAAAUAAAACUAUCUCUACAUUGCAACGUUUCGUUUUCACCAGGGCCAGCGAAAUCAUUCAAGCAAAUGGACCCAAUCCCUUCCAACGCUGUUAUGCUCGCGUUCUGAGCAUGUCACCAUGGAGGAAGUUUAUGUAUUUUUCUUAAAGUGUUCGCCGUCGUUUUUUUUUAUAUAAAGUGCUGCGGCUGAAAGCCCCUAGCACUUUCCUUAAAGGGAGCCGGACAUACGUUGCAUUUUUACAUUGACAAAAUGUUAAUUACAGCGCCAUUGUCAGGUCUGUUGACAAGUUGCGCUGUGGUCGCUGUUCUUAACUUUGUCUUGCCAAGAUAGUUCAAACACUGUGAAAUGAGACCUCACCCAGCGUUGAAAUCGAAUAACAAUUAUCCCGUCGCAACAGCAGGGAACCAACAACAGUCAAACAAGCUGUCGGAGUUUCCCGUCAUGGCUGAUGAGGCUUGAAUGAUGUUGUCGGCAUGACGCCAGCAGUCAGCUGAUGCCCUGAAUUCCUGCACUGAUGUGAGUCAGCACCAACAAGCAAGGAGGGCCAAAGUUCAAUGUGAAAGGUGAAUAUUUCCUGAUGCCUUUAAAACUGCAGCUGUCAUGCAUUCCAUCACCCGGUGAAGAGAUGCAGAAAAGGCAUUCAGUAAACUCGAUGCUUGGCGAAUGCUAAACUGAGAAUCAGUUUUACACAUUCAUACGGGCCAUUUUGCCAGUUGGGAUGAUUGCCUGUUGAAGGCUGAGAUCACUGCUUUCCCAGGAUCGAGCUGAUGACCUCUUGUGAUGAUCACCACAGAGCAAGUAUGACAGGGCCAGCUCACAGAGAGAAGCAUACAAUGGAAUAAGACUCAAGAACUUUCACUGGGAAGCAAUCGUUAUUUGCACCAUUAUGCCUGAGGUUGUCCUCGUUGGUUUAGUAUUGAGUCGUGCUGGUCUGGGAGCAGACUUAGAGCUGAAGCUGACCGUGUGCAGAUUAAACAGCCCAUCGACAAACUUGCAAAUGUUAACAUGCAUGCAACCAUUACUUCAGCUUCUUUGGUAAAAUUUUCGGAAAAUUUGGAAAAAUACAUGCUGCGGUGGUGGAGAGAGGUUGCGGGGAGAUGUUGAGCAGAAGAUCCGGUCUAUUCCUCGUGGUCAUGGCAGUCACCUCUUGAGCGUCUGUUCCAGCUUCAAUGGAUUGGGGUCCGUUCUUUUCCUCUGAUGUUUUGGCGGAGGAGUGAAUGGCCUCUCGCUCCACGGGAGUUAAUUUGGACGGUCAAUUGGGUCUUGGAAGCCGAGAUGGGCCCCGGUCCUCGAGAGGUACGACAGUUUCCCAGCUAUAGCUGUGGCUGGAGUAUCAGCGGUGAUGAGGCAGCAUUGGCAGAGAUGGCGUUCUGGGUCUGGUCAGCGGUGGGUGGGGGCUGCCCUCAGCGUGCUUCCUCCUUGGUGUUGCAGCCUUAGCGACAACUUUGGUAGCUGUGGAAUGUGGUGACAUCCUAUAGGGGAGACGAUGGCCUCGUGGUAUUAUCGCUAGACUGUUAAUCCGGAAACCAAACAACAUUCUGGGAACCCGGGUUCAAGUCCUGACAUGACUGAUGG
This is a long non-coding RNA of Rhincodon typus (whale shark), 2647 nucleotides long. RefSeq lists it as uncharacterized. NCBI's taxonomy places the organism in Eukaryota, Metazoa, Chordata, Chondrichthyes, Orectolobiformes, Rhincodontidae. The transcript is spliced from 4 exons. The record is from RefSeq and is a predicted model, not a curated record.